Molecule: long non-coding RNA, 1429 nt
Filed under: Ananas comosus (pineapple)
Lineage: Eukaryota; Viridiplantae; Streptophyta; Magnoliopsida; Poales; Bromeliaceae
Description: long non-coding RNA (ACOM_LNC033055)
Source: RNAcentral
GGGUGGGGGGUUACUUUGGGGAAAGGAUGAGAAAGGGGAAGAGGGUUUGGGGAGGGGGUGAGAGAGAGAGAGAGAGAGAGAAAGUAACAGAGAGAGAGAUGGGGUUGACUCUAUGAAUGGGAAAGAGGGAAAUGGGCGUAGGAGAAGAGGAACAAAGGGUUUGGGGAGGUGCCAGAGAGAAAGAGAGAGAGAGAUUUCUAAUUGCUUCUAAUUUUAGAUAUGUAAAAUUAGAAAGUUAAUACUAAAAAAUAAAAUCAGAUUUCAAAAAAUAGAUUAUCAAAAUACUUUACCAUCAUCUAUUACCUAUACUAUUUGACACCUCCAUCAAAGGCGACGUGGCAUCUCUCCCUAUGCUUCCUUCCACGUGGCGAAGGGGAAUUUAUCCCCACAUCUACCCCAUUCUCCUACUCUCUCUCUCUCUCUCUCUCUCCACGUCACAUCUACCUGGCACACUCUUCUUUUUCCCCUUCUGCGGUUCUCCCUCUCUCCGCCCCUCUCUCUCUCUUCCCCUAUACUCCUACCCUCUCACUCUCUCUUCCCCUCUACUUCUACCCUGUCCCUCUUUCUCUCCCCCCCUACUCCUAGCCGAAGCCCUCUCUCUCUCUCUCGCCCCCUCUAUUCUCUUAUUAUUUGACGUUUCGCUUUCCGAAAGGCCACUUUCUCCCAAUUCGACUCUUCACCACUUGAAGGGUUUUUUUUUCUAAGCAUCUCUCUCUAACCUCCAGUGCUCUCUCUCCUUCCUCCCAAAGUUUCUCUCUCUAUUCUCUCUCUAUCUAUGCCUUCUCUCUUUCCUUCCCUCCCAAAGUUUCUUUCUCUAUUAUCUCUAUACCUGCGCCUUGGUCAUGAGGACGGCGAUGACUUGGAUGAUGUCAGCAGCGGUAACCGCGGCAGCGUGAGCGGCGUUCACGGCAGCAAGAGCGACUUGGGCGACGUUAGCGGUGGACACGACGGCGGCAACAUCAUACAAAAAAAANAAAAAACCCGCAGCUACUAGCUUCUUUUUUUUUUUUCUUUUUACUCUUCUCCUGAUUCUCUUUUUCUUUUUCUUUGUACUUACCUAUUCUUCUUUUUUUCCUUCUUCUUUCUUUCGUUUUUUCACUUCUAGCCUGACAAUGGCUAUGGCAGUUUGGGUGGUUGAGCGGCGGCGGCGGCGGUCACGGCGGCGUAGGCGUUUGCGCACAGCAGCAUCGGCGACAGUUACUAUAGCAACAACGACUUUUCUCCUUUUCGUUUUCUCCUCUUUUUUUUUUAACUCUUCUCCUUAUCCUUUUUUCUUCUUCUUUCUUUCCUUUAUUUCUUGCCGGACAACAUCGAUGGCAGCUUAGGUGGUGCCAGCGGCGGCUUGGCCGGCGUCGGCAAUACGCACGACAGUGAGAAGCAGCGUCGGCGGUCGUGGUGGCAGUGGUGGCCGCGGGAACAAUGGAGGUCA